CUUUUAUGAGUUUUGCUAAGAUCUGUGUGGGUCAUUGGCUUGGAGGAAAAGGUUUAAUCAGUUAGUGCUUCACCUGUAUACAAAGGCAAGUUGAUGGACCAUAAACCAUUCACAGUUUCCACUUAUAAGGGAACAUAUAUUUCUGGCUCUCUACUCUGUGUGUAACUCUGGCUAUGAAACCCUAAAUGAUGGCUAGGACUUCUAGAUGAAUAAAGAUAUGGUGUGUGUAUUUCCCAGGACUAAAUUAUCUUUGAGCUGUGAUCAAGCAUGAGAAAUUUCCACCCUGAGGAAAAAUAUUUGAAGGUUGCAAAAUGAAUGCUGGAUUUGGUAGCCCAUGACUAUGAUAGUGAAAAAGACACUUGAGGGAAGCUGUGAACAAUUUGGUAUGACCAAAUAUACCAAGAAAAUGAAGAGCACUGAGCAAAAGUCACAUGGAAGGAAAACAGGAGGAAUAUCACUAUAUAUGAAUGUAAAUACUGCUUAUAAGAAAUCUGAAGAGCCAUAUAAAAGCCAUCUCUGUGGAGCUUCCGUCAAGAGCAGGUUGGAGAAAUAAUGGCCAUAUCAAGCCUAUCAGAGGGUGGCUGUAUUUUGUGCUGGAAAAACAACACUUCCAUAAGAACAGCAAAUUGGCGUCACUGAGUGAGAAAAGUUGGAAGACUGUAGGUAAGCCAGGACCAGGAUAACAAGCGUGACAGUGGGAGCUGUCCUGUCAACAGUUUUGAUAAUGUGAAACAAAAUGGCGGCAUCAAAAUAGAAACUUCUCUCCCUUCAAAGCUAUAGAUAAAAUUUGAAAGUACAUAUCUUACCUAUAGGUUUAUAGAUAAAAUAUGGACUUAUCUGCUUCUGUGAACCAUGCAUAUGAGAAAAUGUGCAACACUAAAGAAAAGUCUUUCAACAUGCUGUGGCUAGUAUGAGUAUCAUCUUUGUGGCUAUCUUUGGUAACACAGAUAAUUUCCAAUAAAUGUUGGGUUUUUAAUAAUGAAAAUUGUUUCAGUGGUCAGCUUAUACUUGAUCCUGUUUUCCUGUUUCUAAGCUGUGGUAUAAGAACUAGAUUGUAAAAAGUAGUUGUUGUGAGAGUUGUGAAGAUGAAGAAUUUAUAAAAUGACCAAGUGCAAAGGAAAUCUAUGGUUGAGAGAGAGGUGUAAUCAUAUCCUCUUAACCUGGGGAGAAAGUGAAAUGCAGACAGGCCAUAAUAAUGUUACUAGAACUGCUCAAGUCCAAAAAAUUCCACAAGAAAGACAAGACAAUUUUUAGAGCGAAAGAGAACAUUUAAAAUGUUACUGACUAUUUUAAACACACUUGUAUAAAACACAUUCGUUCAUGUUUGACUUGGCAGGUGAAAGUGAUAUUUUUGUGUCACAUGAGACUUUCUAUUCUAACCUACAUAAGUAUUUAUUAUUAUUAGUUUUAAAUAUUUAUUAAGUGCCUACUCUAUGCCAGGCACUGAUAAUUUCUUUCAACUAUUUGUGAUGAUUAGGAAAAAUAAAUUUAUGGCACCUGCGAGGGUAACUCCUCACUGAAGGGUAGCUAUUAUUUUUCCCACAUCCAAACUGUUAGGAAGGGAUAGAGUAUGAACUGGAAUCAAGCCUGCGCUCUUUUUUCUACUACGCUAUGUUUGAAUUUCUGAAAGCCAGUCAUAUUAUCUUAAUAGUCUCUUGAUGGAUGACUCAUUUCUACCUUUCAUUUUUUUUCCCCAUCCCCAAUUCGUAUUUUCCCCCUUUUCUAUAUUAUUGCAGUCCCCCCCAAAUAAUCCACUACUUAUUUUCAUAAUAAAAGCUACAUUAAUAGGUGUUAUUGUCUUUAUUACCUCAUAGCAGAUUAAAGGAAAUUAGAUACUAAUGGCAGAAACUCAUGUUUAUUAUGAGAGUAGGAAACACACACACACACACACCUGGUAAUACCCUAUUGUCUUAUUUUUAAUGUAGGCCAUUAACUGGUAAAACUUCUAUAAUAUCUAUCACUUAUGUUGUAUCAUAUAUUAUGGCAUAUAUUAAACUAUCAAAAGAUGGCACUAGUCUUGAAGUUCCCUUUAAAAAUGAUUUAGGGGGGUUGAGUGUAUGGUGAUGCAUGGUAAGUAGACUUUUGGUGAUGAUCACUUUGUAAUGAACACAGAUGUCGAAUCAUAAUGUCAGCACCGGAAACUUACAUAAUGUCAUAUACUAAGUUUACCUCAAUUAAAAAAAUAAAUAAGUUUUAAAUAUGCUAUCAGUACAAUGUGUUUAUAAAUGAAUAAAUAUAAAUCGGUCAU
Molecule: long non-coding RNA, 2248 nt
Organism: Balaenoptera acutorostrata (minke whale)
Lineage: Eukaryota; Metazoa; Chordata; Mammalia; Artiodactyla; Balaenopteridae
Exons: 5
Source: RefSeq, a predicted model, not a curated record